This 397-nucleotide ribosomal RNA is filed under the name uncultured bacterium. Its description in RNAcentral is "partial 16S ribosomal RNA". It matches the Rfam family "Bacterial small subunit ribosomal RNA", at positions 523 to 918 of the family's 1533-position model. The record is from RNAcentral.
AUACGUAGGGGGCGAGCGUUGUCCGGAAUUAUUGGGCGUAAAGGGCGUGUAGACGGUCAUAUAAGUUACAGGUGAAAGCCCAUUUUUCAAGGAUGGAACUGCCUGUAAGACUGUAAGACUUGAGUGCAGGAGAGGGAAGCGGAAUUCCAAGUGUAGCGGUGAAAUGCGUAGAUAUUUGGAGGAACACCAGUGGCGAAGGCGGCUUUCUGGACUGCAACUGACGUUGAGGCGCGAAAGCGUGGGGAGCGAACAGGAUUAGAUACCCUGGUAGUCCACGCUGUAAACGAUGGAUGCUAGGUGUGGGGGGUAUCGACCCCCUCCGUGCCGGAGUUAACGCAAUAAGCAUCCCGCCUGGGGAGUACGGCCACAAGGUUGAAACUUAAAGGAAUUGACGGGG